RNAcentral lists this transfer RNA (74 nucleotides) under Bacteroidota bacterium. RNAcentral describes it as "Bacteroidetes bacterium tRNA-Lys". It matches the Rfam family "tRNA". Rfam says of the family: Transfer RNA (tRNA) molecules are approximately 80 nucleotides in length. Their secondary structure includes four short double-helical elements and three loops (D, anti-codon, and T loops). Lineage: Bacteria; Pseudomonadati; Bacteroidota. The record is from RNAcentral.
AGGUUCGUAAUUCAACGGUAGAAUAUCUGGCUUUUAACCAGUCAAUGAGGGUUCGAUUCCCUCCGGACCUACCA